CCAACCCAGGGAUCGAACCCAUGUCUCUUGCAUUGGCCAGCAGAUUCUUUACCAUUAUGCCAUCUGGGAAGCAAUAAUUCCUGUUGAGAACUCCCCAAAGAGCAGAUCUUGUGUAAAUCCUUUAUAUAGAUUCUCCUAUUUAAUUCUUAUGAUAGAUUUUUGUCUUUUUAAGAAAAGAAACUGAGGCUCAAAAAGGUUACAUAACUAGCACAAGAUCCCUCAGCAAGUAGUAGAGGGACUCAAACCCAGAUAUGUCUAAAGCCUGGCAUUCCUAACGAGCAUACUCUGAACUUUGCAGGGAUACUGGAUGAAAGUUAGGCCUGCCAGCUAGUGGGCUGUUCAUUUUUACAGAGGGAGGUACCGAGGAGAACAAAUGAGUAUUUAAUCAGCACGGCCAGUUUUAGGGGGUUAAACUUUCUUCACCUUCAGUGGAGUGGUCAGUGCCCCCUUGUUAUCACUUCGUUUUGUUUUCUGACUACCGAACAAUGUUUAACGGAAAGCUCUUAACUGUCUUCCGGUUUUAGUCAAAGAGUCUGGCAGAAACGAGCUGACCUGCAGGUACAUCUACAACAAGGGCUUUGGGGCUCCUUGGGCCACAGACAAACAGACCUGGAGACAAAGUCCUUUAAGAGUCAAGGAGGAGCUACGGGCCACUUUGGCGCUACGUUGUUAUAAACCAGAGUGGGCUUUCUUUUCAACGAUGACAUGAAAACAAGGAGAUGAAUCAGUUCUGCGCUGCCCCAUUCCCCAGGUAGCGUUUUCUUACACUUUUACAGAACGGAAGAGUUUUCUCUUGAAGUUUGAAGAAAACAAGGGAAACAUGUGCCUGGGAAGCGCCGAGUAUGGUUUUGACUCUGGCUGUGAGGUUCACGCUGUACUCAUAACAUCCUGUUCUUCUCUGCUGGCUGUGAUGUGGUAGAUAGCAGUCCCUCCCUGGGCUGUUAACAGCUGAGCUCAUUUUUCAUAAAGAUGCUGCUCUGUGAGACUGAGGAAGUGGGCCAUGGCCACCUCCUCCUUCGUUACUCUUACGGUUAAGGAUGGGUUUUCCCAGUGGCCCUUGCCAUCUUCUCUAAAAUUAGGUCUUUAAUGCCUCUGGGAUAUGUGGCAAACUUAAAAUUUUACUGGAAGCCCACAGAGUAUUAGUGAGUGGGAAAUGUGCCUCAAAAAAGUCAUUUGUUUAGCAUAGGAGAAGUCUGCUCUGUCAAAACCUGCAGCUACGGAGUCAAAGAGGAAGAGUGGCUGCUGGGGGAAGGUGUGAUGCCACCUGAUACUGAGAAAAAGCAGAGUAAGAGCGAUCAUCCUAGGGACUGGGAUUUCUGCCUUUGGAUCCAUCCCUUCGGUAGGGGACUGGAGCGCAUAGAGCUGACUUUCUUACACAAUAUACUUAUCAGUUUCCAAAUGACCUUGGGCCUAAAAAUCACAUCUAUUACAAAGACACAAAUGGAAUAAGGAAUAGAAUCUCACUUCUGUGGUCAGGGAGCUGACCCAAAAUUAAUUCAUUGUAUUUGGAGAUUCUGAAGGCAUAACUAGAAUAGGAAUGACUUCUGCUAGUCAGUUACAAAGGAAAUUGUUCCCCUUCUGUCUUCAGUGAGUUGCAGAGUCACUGGUUUGCCAUCCAGGAGAUGGACAACAUAGUGGGUGUGUUUUUUGAAUGGCUUUUAUUAGAGAGCAAGAUGGUAUCCAUUCUUGCGAUUGUGCUUCUCAUGGGGCAGUUCCAAAAUUUGCCUCAUCACUGGAAUAAGGAAGAUGCUUUAAAAGGACAGAGAGAUCCUUUGUCAAACUGAGACCUACUGAAUAGCACCAGGUAAGAACAAAGCCAUUCAUAAUUUCAUCUGGGUGAUUCUUUUAAUCAGCUAGGGAGAAACCACUCUAGUCUUCCCUCCUUGGGAUAGAUAAAUUAAUCAGAUUAGUAACUUGCCAUUUGAGAUCUGUAGGCAUCACGUAUUGGACAGGCCAGCUUUCAGUUAGGGGUGGAAGGCAGGGUAUGAAAAGUGAAGAUUAGAGGGACGUGGCAGAAGCAAAAUUGGACUGAUGUUAGCAGCAUGGUAGAAUCAUAUAUGAAGGCCCCAGAUGGACAUAGAGGAUUCUUGAGAUGGUUGGCUGUCUGGCUACCCACUCCAGUAUCCUGGCCUGGAGAAUUCCAUGGACUGUAUAGUCCACAGGGUCACAAAGAGUCGGACAAGACUGAGCGACUUUAACUUUCACUUUAGCAACUAAACAAUAAAACAAAGGACACCACAUGCCCAUUUACUCAUUCAGUCAUUUAAUUCAGCAUCUUUUAUUGAGUAGAAUCCAUGCUUGUUGGGUAUGGGGGCAGGGGUUGGGGAACUUAAUAAAUAAAACACAGUCUCUUCUUCCUUCUAAAUGGCCCCAGUUCUAAGGGCAUGUAAGAAAUUAAGAGGAAAUAAUCAGCUGUCCCUGGGCAGGAGAAAAGGGUAUGCCAGAGAAAUCUUAGAGAAGGAAGUGCCUGACCAAGGUGUUUAAGAAUGAAAGGGAGAUUCACCUGGAAAAUAGACCCAGUCUUCUCAGGCAAAGGCAAUAGCUUGAACAAAGGCAAAAUGGCCUGUGGGUCUAUGGACGUCUAUGAAUCAAUAACGUGCCAUUAUAGUGCGAAAUGGAAAGUGGUGGGAUAUCUGGUGAUUUGGCAGCAUCCAAAUCAUGCGGGGUCUUCAGUGUCCACACUUCUGUUCUAAGGAAAGACCUUAGCACAACUCCAACACGUGACCAUAUAAACACACAACAGAAGAGAACAGAGGCUGUUCAAAGACACAGGUGAGUAUUCAUGAACUCUUGCUUUUAUUAUGUAUAUACCUUGGAAUCAGGGUUGUUUAAGAUUCUACUUCUCAGAGAAGCUAGAUAGAUUAGUAUAGCAACUCACAACUUAUAGAAAAUUAGUAUAUUUUUUCCUUAGCUGCAGGAUAUGUUUUUUAAAAAAAUGAAAACCACUUCUUGCUUCGAUUUUAAAAUACCUUAAUUUGAGAGACUGUUAGUCAUGAAGGUGUUUCCAUAGCAAACAUGUGUGGGACAUCCUAGCUUUGUUGGCAGUGGUUCAGGGGAACUUAUCUUAUUAAAUUGGGACAAGGCCUGGCUUGAUGGAGGAUAAGGUCAUGGCACUUUUCCCAUAGCAUGAGGCCUCCAUUUAAGGGCAAGAUAAAGGAAAGGCAAAGAGCAAGAAGAGAAAGUGCUGGAAUGAAAACAAGUAACAAAAGGAAGAUAAAAAUGGAAAUCCCAGUUCAAUGUGAAUAAUAGGCAUGCAAAUGGUGCUGCUAAAAUAGGAAGGAACAUUACUUUUCAAAAAGGCAAAGCAAAGGAAAAUUGUAGUAGCAGAAGCAUUUUGCAUGGUAAAAUUGUACACUGUGUAUGCCUCUCAGAAGCAAAGCCACCUACUCUAAUUUUUCCCAGCACGAUGCUGUGAAUCUGGAGAAAUUUGGAGCAGAUGCAGACACAGGGAGAACUCUUUGUGAAGAUGAAGGCAGAGAUCAGGGUGAGGUUUCUACACACCAAGGAACUCCAGUGGUCACCAGCAGACCACCAGAAGCUGAGGAAGAGGCAUGAGAGCAAUCUUCUCUGCACAGCCAGAAGGAACCAACCUUGCUGAUACCUUGGUGUUAGACCUCUGGCCUCCAGAACCGUGACAAUAAAUUUCUGUUCUGUA
Molecule: long non-coding RNA, 3655 nt
Organism: Bubalus bubalis (water buffalo)
Lineage: Eukaryota; Metazoa; Chordata; Mammalia; Artiodactyla; Bovidae
Exons: 2
Source: RefSeq, a predicted model, not a curated record